This 391-nucleotide unclassified non-coding RNA is filed under the name soil metagenome. RNAcentral describes it as "partial contains 5.8S ribosomal RNA, internal transcribed spacer 2, and large subunit ribosomal RNA". The stretch from base 1 to 122 matches the Rfam family "5.8S ribosomal RNA", at positions 35 to 154 of the family's 154-position model. The record is from RNAcentral.
GAUGAAGAGCGUAGCGAAAUGCGAUACUUGGUGUGAAUUGCAGAAUCCCGUGAACCAUCGAGUCUUUGAACGCAAGUUGCGCCCGAAGCCAUUAGGCCGAGGGCACGCCUGCCUGGGCGUCACACGUCGUUGCCCCCCCAUCUACUCCUUCGGGAUUGCGGGGGGCGGAUGAUGGCCUCCCGUGCGCCUCGCCGCGCGGUUGGCAUAAAUGCCAAGUCCUCGGCGACGCACGCCACGACAAUCGGUGGUUGCGAAACCUCGGUUGCCCGUCGUGUGCGGUCGUCGCGCAUCGAGGGCUCGAAAAAAUUGCCGGGUUCCGGCUCGGCUUUCAACGCGACCCCAGGUCAGGCGGGGUUACCCGCUGAAUUUAAGCAUAUCAAUAAGCGGAGGA